Molecule: ribosomal RNA, 254 nt
Filed under: uncultured bacterium
Lineage: Bacteria
Description: partial 16S ribosomal RNA
Rfam family: Bacterial small subunit ribosomal RNA
Source: RNAcentral
UACGGGGGGAGCAAGCGUUGUUCGGAUUUACUGGGCGUAAAGGGCGCGUAGGCGGCCACCGCAAGUCGGUUGUGAAAUCUCCGGGCUUAACCCGGAAAGGUCAAUCGAUACUGCGGGGCUAGAGUGCAGAAGGGGCAACUGGAAUUCUCGGUGUAGUGGUGAAAUGCGUAGAUAUCGAGAGGAACACCUGCGGCGAAGGCGGGUUGCUGGGCUGACACUGACGCUGAAGCGCGAAAGCUAGGGGAGCGAACGGG